Molecule: ribosomal RNA, 397 nt
Filed under: uncultured bacterium
Lineage: Bacteria
Description: partial 16S ribosomal RNA
Rfam family: Bacterial small subunit ribosomal RNA
Source: RNAcentral
AUACGUAGGGGGCGAGCGUUGUCCGGAAUGAUUGGGCGUAAAGGGCGCGUAGGCGGCGCGGUAAGUCUGGAGUGAAAGUCCUGCUUUCAAGGUGGGAAUUGCUUUGGAUACUGCCGCGCUUGAGUGCAGGAGAGGUUAUCGGAAUUCCCGGUGUAGCGGUGAAAUGCGUAGAGAUCGGGAGGAACACCAGUGGCGAAGGCGGGUAACUGGACUGCAACUGACGCUGAAGCGCGAAAGUGUGGGGAGCAAACAGGAUUAGAUACCCUGGUAGUCCACACUGUAAACGAUGAAUGCUAGGUGUAAGAGGUAUCGACCCCUUUUGUGCCGGAGUCAACACAAUAAGCAUUCCGCCUGGGGAGUACGGCCGCAAGGUUGAAACUCAAAGGAAUUGACGGGG